ACCUGACUAGCUCUGUAGGAAGAGCAUGGGACUGUUGAUCUCAGGCUCAUGAGUUCAAGCUCCAUGUCCGGCA
This 73-nucleotide transfer RNA is filed under the name Ailuropoda melanoleuca (giant panda). It matches the Rfam family "tRNA". Rfam says of the family: Transfer RNA (tRNA) molecules are approximately 80 nucleotides in length. Their secondary structure includes four short double-helical elements and three loops (D, anti-codon, and T loops). Lineage: Eukaryota; Metazoa; Chordata; Mammalia; Carnivora; Ursidae. The record is from Rfam by way of RNAcentral.